UCGAGAAUCUUCCGCAAUGCGCGAAAGCGUGACGGAGCGAUGCCGCGUGAUGGAUGAAGCGGUUUUCCGCGUAAACAUCUUUUAUGAAGGAGGAAGUAUAUUGACGUUACUUCAUGAAUAAGGGGUUCCUAACUCUGUGCCAGCAGGAGCGGUAAUACAGAGACCCCAAGCGUUGUCCGGAAUCACUGGGCGUAAAGGGUGCGCAGGCGGCAUGGUUAGUCGUAUGUUAAAGCUCGGGGCUCAACCUCGAAAUCGCAUACGAAACGGCCAAGCUUGAGUAUGGUAGAGGUAAAUGGAACUCAUAGUGUAGGGGUGAAAUCCGUUGAUAUUAUGGGGAACACCAAAGGCGAAGGCAAUUUACUGGACCAUCACUGACGCUCAUGCACGAAACCCUGGGUAG
This 400-nucleotide ribosomal RNA is filed under the name uncultured bacterium. RNAcentral describes it as "bacterial SSU rRNA". It matches the Rfam family "Bacterial small subunit ribosomal RNA", at positions 355 to 768 of the family's 1533-position model. The record is from RNAcentral.